RNAcentral lists this ribosomal RNA (507 nucleotides) under Triticum aestivum (bread wheat). RNAcentral describes it as "partial small subunit ribosomal RNA". The record is from RNAcentral. Lineage: Eukaryota; Viridiplantae; Streptophyta; Magnoliopsida; Poales; Poaceae.
AUGGUGGUUGAAUUGAGGUGCAGGGGCGUCGGGGAAACUUGGAUGCUGCCAAGGUCAAGACCAUCGCAUCUGGUGGCCACCCGGGCUGAGCAUGCUGCUUACCUCAAGUGGAUGGAUGGACGAUGCUUCCGCAACCUCAAUCGCAAGCACUUCGCCGCUGCAUGUACGGAGCCGCUCAAGUGCUGGCGCUGCUACAAGAAUUUCCACCUUGCCAGCCAGUGCUCUCGACCAUCAUGGAAGCCCCCCUCGUCGGCUCCUUCCUUGGGGCCUCGGCCUGGUGUUGAUGUUACCUGUGGCAUGCAGGCCAGCCACGCUUCAAUGCCUCGCUGGUAUGCUGAUGCUCUCUUGGCAUCGCCCCUUGGAGAUUGCUGGGCUCGUCCUGCGGAUGGUUGCGCCCUUCCUCAUGCCCCCGUUGAGCAGGAUCUUCUUGCUGCAAUGUUGUUGGCUCGGCCAGUGGACAUCUUUUCGUGGCAGGAUGAGGCUAUGGCGCCACCUUCUCAGUUAUAG